Molecule: long non-coding RNA, 742 nt
Filed under: Capra hircus (goat)
Lineage: Eukaryota; Metazoa; Chordata; Mammalia; Artiodactyla; Bovidae
Description: lncRNA (ENSCHIG00010019833.1)
Source: RNAcentral
AGGACUAAAGGGUGUAGAGUUAAAGCUGUAUUCAAAGGAAGUGAAGGUUUUCUACACAGGAAGAGGUUUUUAUGGUAACUUGAGUCUAUUUGAAAUAUGAGCAAUUACUGAAAGGUCAUUAGAAACCCUAUAUAUAUAUAUAUUUGGGGCCUUCUAUUUUGCUAAAUUAAUUGUAAGCAGAAAUGCCUCAUGAUAGGAAUGAUGAGCCCGGUCAGCUCUGAAUUGUUUUAUAUUUCACGUUUUAACAUCUAAGUAGAAUGUGUUUCCUGUUUCUAAAGUUUUCAUCAUAACAGAAUUACAUUAUCUUCAGAAGAUUAGCAAGAUUUGGCAGGAAACUGAAGGAAAGAGAGACAAAGAGUGUGUUGUGCAUGUGUGUGUGUGAUAAGUUUUUAAGCAGUAAAACCUAACAGUACUACAUGUUACCUGACUUGUAUCGCCAAACAACCAGAAGAAUGGUUUUUCCAAACGUGGCUGUCAUUAAUGUUAAAGCAAGGAGAGGGGAGUUUAUUGGCUUCCUAAUCACCUAACUCCUCAUGCAGUGUCACUCUGAGUGCCAGGGCAAGGCUUCUGGGCAUGGCACGGUGAGCAUAGCGGGCUGUGAAAUACACACUGUAGUUGUGGUGUUAGCCCUGGGGUGUGCUGUUUCCAUAUCACAGGUCACAGCGCUUCAACACUGACUUCCCCCCAAGACCAUAUGGCUCCGUUUUAUCCAAAAGCCCACCCCAAGGGUAAGAAGAGGAUC